AUGCGGUAUGACGGUACCCUUUCGAAUAAGAGGUUGCUAACUCUGUGCCAGCAGCAGCGGUAAUACAGAGACCUCGAGCGUUAUCCGGAUUUACUGGGCGUAAAGCGUCUGUAGGGGGUUUGUUAAGUUCCAAGUAAAAUCUUAAGGCUCAACUUUAAGUUCGCUUGGAAAACUAAUAAACUGGAGUCCAGCAGAGGUGCAUGGAACUUGCGGUGUAGGAGUGAAAUCCGUUGAUAUCGCAAGGAACACCAAAGGCGAAGGCAUUGCACUGGGCUGGUACUGACCCUGAGAGACGAAAGCGUGGGGAGCAAAACGGAUUAGAUACCCGUGUAGUCCACGCCGUAAACGAUGGAUACUAGAUGUUCGGGGAUUCGACCCCCUGGGUGUCACAGCUAACGCGUUAAGUAUCCCGCCUGGGAAGUACGGCCGCAAGGCUAAAACUCAAAGGAAUAGACGGGGAUCCGCACAAGCGGUGGAGCGUCUGGUUUAAUUUGAUAGUAAGCAAUGGACCUCACCAAGGUUUGACAUCCUAUGACAACCCUGGAAACAGGGCUUCCUUCGGGCAUAGUGACAGGUGCUGCAUGGUCGUCGUCAGUUCGUGCCGUGAGGUGUUCCGUUAAGUCGGGAAACGAACGAAACCCUCGUCGCAUGUUACAAAUUUCAUGCGAGACUGCCCGGGUCAACCGGGAGGAAGGCGGGGAUGACGUCAGAUCAGCAUGGCCCUUAUACCUUGGGCUACACAGGCGCUACAAUGGCCGGUACAAAGGGUUGCAAAACCGCGAGGUGAAGCUAAUCCCAUAAAGCCGGUCCAAGUUCGGAUUGGAGGCUGCAACUCGCCUCCAUGAAGUUGGAAUCGCUAGUACUCGUCGAUCAGCCAUACCACGGUGAAUACGUUCCCGGAUCUUGUACUCACCGCCCGUCACACCAAGAGAGUUGGUAUAUCCUGAAGC
This 950-nucleotide ribosomal RNA is filed under the name uncultured organism. Its description in RNAcentral is "bacterial SSU rRNA". It matches the Rfam family "Bacterial small subunit ribosomal RNA", at positions 462 to 1427 of the family's 1533-position model. The record is from RNAcentral.